UACAUACUCCCUCCCUCUAAAAUUACUUGUUGCGGAAAUUGAUGUAUCUAGACGUAUUUUAGUUCUAGAUACAUCCAUUUUUAUCCAAUUCAGGGACAAGUAAUUCCGGACGGAGGGAGUACAUG
This is a non-coding RNA of Triticum aestivum (bread wheat), 125 nucleotides long. Lineage: Eukaryota; Viridiplantae; Streptophyta; Magnoliopsida; Poales; Poaceae. The record is from Rfam.